AAUGUGGAAGAAGACCACUUCUUACGGUUUCCAACACCGGAAACUGCUUGAGUUUCUUCUUAUUGGCUUGUCAUUCUGUUUGCAGGAACAUGGCUAUUGGAAAGAGAUCACUCCAAUUUAGUUUAUCUUGGCAUAAUGCUGUAUACUGUAACUUUCUCGAUGGGCAUGGCAGGGUUACCUACGGUAA
This is a long non-coding RNA of Pistacia vera, 187 nucleotides long. RefSeq lists it as uncharacterized. The transcript has 3 exons. NCBI's taxonomy places the organism in Eukaryota, Viridiplantae, Streptophyta, Magnoliopsida, Sapindales, Anacardiaceae. The record is from RefSeq and is a predicted model, not a curated record.